AAAUACAAUUCAAAUAGAGCGACGAAACCCUUUCUACAUCCAUAAUAAAUCUCUGCUAAAAGCAGAGUCGAUUGUACAAAUUACAUGUACAAACCACUGUA
This is a long non-coding RNA of Haliotis rubra (blacklip abalone), 101 nucleotides long. RefSeq lists it as uncharacterized. NCBI's taxonomy places the organism in Eukaryota, Metazoa, Mollusca, Gastropoda, Lepetellida, Haliotidae. The transcript is spliced from 3 exons. The record is from RefSeq and is a predicted model, not a curated record.